This 2329-nucleotide ribosomal RNA is filed under the name Escherichia coli. Its description in RNAcentral is "partial 23S ribosomal RNA". It matches the Rfam family "Bacterial large subunit ribosomal RNA", at positions 609 to 2915 of the family's 2925-position model. Lineage: Bacteria; Pseudomonadati; Pseudomonadota; Gammaproteobacteria; Enterobacterales; Enterobacteriaceae. The record is from RNAcentral.
UGUAUAAUGGGUCAGCGACUUAUAUUCUGUAGCAAGGUUAACCGAAUAGGGGAGCCGAAGGGAAACCGAGUCUUAACUGGGCGUUAAGUUGCAGGGUAUAGACCCGAAACCCGGUGAUCUAGCCAUGGGCAGGUUGAAGGUUGGGUAACACUAACUGGAGGACCGAACCGACUAAUGUUGAAAAAUUAGCGGAUGACUUGUGGCUGGGGGUGAAAGGCCAAUCAAACCGGGAGAUAGCUGGUUCUCCCCGAAAGCUAUUUAGGUAGCGCCUCGUGAAUUCAUCUCCGGGGGUAGAGCACUGUUUCGGCAAGGGGGUCAUCCCGACUUACCAACCCGAUGCAAACUGCGAAUACCGGAGAAUGUUAUCACGGGAGACACACGGCGGGUGCUAACGUCCGUCGUGAAGAGGGAAACAACCCAGACCGCCAGCUAAGGUCCCAAAGUCAUGGUUAAGUGGGAAACGAUGUGGGAAGGCCCAGACAGCCAGGAUGUUGGCUUAGAAGCAGCCAUCAUUUAAAGAAAGCGUAAUAGCUCACUGGUCGAGUCGGCCUGCGCGGAAGAUGUAACGGGGCUAAACCAUGCACCGAAGCUGCGGCAGCGACGCUUAUGCGUUGUUGGGUAGGGGAGCGUUCUGUAAGCCUGCGAAGGUGUGCUGUGAGGCAUGCUGGAGGUAUCAGAAGUGCGAAUGCUGACAUAAGUAACGAUAAAGCGGGUGAAAAGCCCGCUCGCCGGAAGACCAAGGGUUCCUGUCCAACGUUAAUCGGGGCAGGGUGAGUCGACCCCUAAGGCGAGGCCGAAAGGCGUAGUCGAUGGGAAACAGGUUAAUAUUCCUGUACUUGGUGUUACUGCGAAGGGGGGACGGAGAAGGCUAUGUUGGCCGGGCGACGGUUGUCCCGGUUUAAGCGUGUAGGCUGGUUUUCCAGGCAAAUCCGGAAAAUCAAGGCUGAGGCGUGAUGACGAGGCACUACGGUGCUGAAGCAACAAAUGCCCUGCUUCCAGGAAAAGCCUCUAAGCAUCAGGUAACAUCAAAUCGUACCCCAAACCGACACAGGUGGUCAGGUAGAGAAUACCAAGGCGCUUGAGAGAACUCGGGUGAAGGAACUAGGCAAAAUGGUGCCGUAACUUCGGGAGAAGGCACGCUGAUAUGUAGGUGAAGCGACUUGCUCGUGGAGCUGAAAUCAGUCGAAGAUACCAGCUGGCUGCAACUGUUUAUUAAAAACACAGCACUGUGCAAACACGAAAGUGGACGUAUACGGUGUGACGCCUGCCCGGUGCCGGAAGGUUAAUUGAUGGGGUUAGCGGUAACGCGAAGCUCUUGAUCGAAGCCCCGGUAAACGGCGGCCGUAACUAUAACGGUCCUAAGGUAGCGAAAUUCCUUGUCGGGUAAGUUCCGACCUGCACGAAUGGCGUAAUGAUGGCCAGGCUGUCUCCACCCGAGACUCAGUGAAAUUGAACUCGCUGUGAAGAUGCAGUGUACCCGCGGCAAGACGGAAAGACCCCGUGAACCUUUACUAUAGCUUGACACUGAACAUUGAGCCUUGAUGUGUAGGAUAGGUGGGAGGCUUUGAAGUGUGGACGCCAGUCUGCAUGGAGCCGGCCUUGAAAUACCACCCUUUAAUGUUUGAUGUUCUAACGUUGGCCCCUGAUCGGGGUUGCGGACAGUGUCUGGUGGGUAGUUUGACUGGGGCGGUCUCCUCCUAAAGAGUAACGGAGGAGCACGAAGGUUGGCUAAUCCUGGUCGGACAUCAGGAGGUUAGUGCAAUGGCAUAAGCCAGCUUGACUGCGAGCGUGACGGCGCGAGCAGGUGCGAAAGCAGGUCAUAGUGAUCCGGUGGUUCUGAAUGGAAGGGCCAUCGCUCAACGGAUAAAAGGUACUCCGGGGAUAACAGGCUGAUACCGCCCAAGAGUUCAUAUCGACGGCGGUGUUUGGCACCUCGAUGUCGGCUCAUCACAUCCUGGGGCUGAAGUAGGUCCCAAGGGUAUGGCUGUUCGCCAUUUAAAGUGGUACGCGAGCUGGGUUUAGAACGUCGUGAGACAGUUCGGUCCCUAUCUGCCGUGGGCGCUGGAGAACUGAGGGGGGCUGCUCCUAGUACGAGAGGACCGGAGUGGACGCAUCACUGGUGUUCGGGUUGUCAUGCCAAUGGCACUGCCCGGUAGCUAAAUGCGGAAGAGAUAAGUGCUGAAAGCAUCUAAGCACGAAACUUGCCCCGAGAUGAGUUCUCCCUGAGACUUUAAGUCUCCUGAAGGAACGUUGAAGACGACGACGUUGAUAGGCCGGGUGUGUAAGCGCAGCGAUGCGUUGAGCUAACCGGUACUAAUGAACCGUGAGG